UCCCCCGUCAGUCACGCGGAGGCGCUUCUCGCGGAGGCGCGGCUUGGUUGGCCCGUGCGCGCUGCCGAUCGCGGGCCCGGCCGCCUCUUUGAACUGAAUUCGCGGGAAAAUUAGGGGUCGGAGCGGCCUUCCUGCUGGCCCCGGUGCAUUGUGGGGAGAGAGGGACCCAGCGAGCGGCUUAGGGAGCAGUUUCUGGCUUUCUGAGCGUCGUCAGUCGCCGCCCCCGAGGGAUACAGGACCCCUGAGGAGAGGCGGGCCUCUGAGGAACUGGGGGCGAGGGGCCUGUUAAAAGCUCUGGGAUCCAAGACCGAUCAUCGAGUCUCUAACUUCACAGGAAGGGGCCUGCCUGGGGGUUGGUCGUGUCGCUUCAGGUCUGAGGGGCUCGCGGGGCGGGGAUCGGGUUGCCGGUCCCCUCGUCACCACGUGCCUCAAGCCACCCUUGGCCGAGUCCCACCCAGCGAGCGCUGGAGAGGACAGAGGGCCGUCAAGGGCUCACGGACGCCCCUGGGCUCCACCAAAGGAAGCCAUUAGUAGGGAGAAGGAAUGUGCUAGAAAGGAGGAAAACGAUUUUGUGUAGGUGCGGUGAGGCUUCAGCAUCGUUACUGAGAGAGGUUGUGGCUUCUCAACAUGCUGGAAGCAAAACCUAGACAUUUGAUGCCCAGACACCAUAGGAGUGGUCAGAGGGAUAAACUGGAUUUCUUAAAAGUACGUAUAUCUAUCUGGAGAACCUACUCAUUUUGCGCUCAAAAACUGGAAAGAGAACCCGGUGUUUUGCGGGUCUCACUUAAAAAGAAAGAUGCUUAGGCCCGAUUUGGUCUUCUGGUACGAACUGGUUUGGAGCUGAGCUAAUAUUCUUCAAGAUUUGAAUUUCGGAUUGAGCAAAGAUGACCUCUAAGGUGAUCUUCCAGUUUAAAUCCUGUGAUCUUGUACUACAUUGAAAUGAAACAUUAGCUUCAAAAAUCCCAAUCUAUAAACACAGAACCAUUUCAUACUUUCCAUAACAUUUUUAAAAACGUCUACUUUGGGCCCUUUGCAGUUAACUUCAAAACACUGUUUACAAAGCAAGCAUCUUUGGAAUGAUUAUUCAAAUAUCCAAAGUGCUGAUUUUUUUCAAUGCAUUUGCUACUUAAGAAAGUGAGCUCUAUAAAUGAUGCCUGUUGUACAAAAUUUGACAUUUCAGGAACACCUUCGAAAUUAGGUAUACCAGUUACUGAUUUUUAAGUACAGUCUAUAUUUUUAGUUAGACAAAAAGUUCAGAAUGUUUCUGUAUUUAAAAAAAAUUUCCCCCUAUGAAAAGAGUGGUUUUGUUUUUUAGAUUUCUGAAAGCCUUCUCUGUUUAAUGCAGUCCCUAGUGGUUUGUGGGGGGUUAGAUAUUGGUAAACUGCUCAUACUUAGCUUUACAGGGUUAGAAAAUGAAGUUUCAUCAGUUCAGCCAUCUGGAGAAUUAAUGCACACUAAGCAAAUCACAAAAUAUCAAGAUAUAAACCAGAAUGCUAAUAUGUUAAUUAACAGUCAGUAUAGAUGGCAAAGUUACCAGUCUUCAUUAUUUAUACAGGGCUCCCUUUUGAAGGGAGGGGAGGAUAGAGGAACAGGUACAAAGAAAAAAGGCUCCCUUUUGAAGGGAGGGGAGGAUGGAGGAACAGGUACAAAGAAAAAAACCAAGUCGCAGGUGAUCAUAAAUCUUUGAUGAGUAAAGAAAUGGAAUCAGAGGAGUUGGGACAUUCUUAAAGGAUAUUCCCCUUAGGAAAUAGCAUUCUUGGUUUCAGCACAGACAUGGAUUUAAUGUACAGUAGCUAACUAGUACUGAUCAUGUGAUUCAAAGCCAUCCAUGCCAUGAGAGAGGAAUAGUAACAGAUUCUCACUUUUUGUAUUCUCCUUUGUCCAGAUUGUAUGUAGAACACUAAAAAGAUCUUUAUUAUUGCGGACAAAUUAGAAUUAAUUGACGAGUUUUGUUGGUUACAUUUACAAUCUUCUUAAUCAGAUUAUGUUCUAUAGCUAAAAUGUUGACGGUCCCCUCAGGAUUGGUCACUUCUGUGGCUACCUUAUUUAUUUUGCGUUGUUAUUUUUAAGUUUGUUGUGGCAGUUGUUUUUGAUACUUGUGAUGCCAGUUCACUGUCAAUGACAGAUUUAUCUUUAGCCCCCUAUCUCACACUGAAUUUGAGUUGCUUCCUAAGGUUUUGCUUGUUUUUGCUUUUAUGUGUAUCUGGAAUUGGUAAACUCCUAAAAAGCAAAGGCCACUGUCCAUUUCUUUUAUAUCUCCUAGCACAGGACUAGCUAUGCAUGCAAGGAAAGAAUAGCAAUCAUUUUGAGCUGUCGUGAGUAUACUUUUAUGUGUAUUACCUCAUUUUGUCAUAUGGGUCCUAUGAAACUGUCAUUAUUUUCAUUUUGAAGAGAAAAUAGACUGAGAGAGGUUAGGUGACUUGUUCAUUUAGGGGCAGAGCUGUGACUUGGACCCACGUUUUUAAACUUCAAUUUCUGUGCAUUUUUGCGAUCAGGAUAAAAUUAUCCCUUGUACCUGGAGUUCAACCUUUUUAAGUUUGUUUCAAAAACUGAGGGCUGGAGUUCCCAUUGUGGCGCAGUGGAAGCGAAUCCGACUAGGAACCAUGAGGUUGCAGGUUUGAUCCCUGGCCUCGCUCAGUGCAUCAAGGAUCUGACGUUGCCCUGAGCUGUGAUGUAGGUCGCAGACGCGGCUCCGUUCUGGCGAUGCUGUGGCUCUGGUGUAGGCUGGCGGCUACAGCUCCGAUUAGACCCCUAGCCUGGGAACCUCCGUGUGCCGGGGGAGCGGCCCUAGAAAAGGCAAAAAAUAGAAAUAAAAAUAAAAAUGCACAAAUAUAUGUAUUUGUAUCUAUCGAGAAACACUGUGAUACUUGGAAAAAUUUUUAAAUGCACAAAUAUAGGAGUUCCCUGGUGGCUCAGCAGGAUAAAGAUCAGCAUUGUCGCUGCUGUGGCAUAGGUUCCACCCCUGGCUUGAGAACUUCCACAUACAUGGGUGUGGCCAAAAAUGCACAAAUAUUAAAUUUAUUGGAUUAUAAAGGAAACAAAAAAGUUGUGAUGUAUUAAUACAGGUGCUUUUUUGAAUGUACUAAAAAAGAUUUAGCAGGUCAGUCUGAUAACUAUCAUAAUUUCAAAGCAGUGAUGAAAGCAAAUAAUAUUUUGAGAUACCUAUAAGAAGUGUAAUGUGAUAUGGAAAUGCCUGUCAUUUAUCUUAGAAACAAAGCCAAUGCUAGCACUACUGUGAUUUGUCACCUACAGUGAUAGUUGAAUACUAAAUUUCAGUUAGAAGUUAAUGUACAUAAAGAUGUAAUUUUUUUCCUCAUGUAAAUUCCCAGACUCCCUGAAUUUGACUCAAGUUAACAAGUUGGUGUUGUAUCACCAAGUCUUUUUCUUUCUACUUGACUAUAGGCUCUUGGGGGCCGGGGUGAUGGGUGAUUUGUCUUAGCAACUGAGGUGUGUAUCAUUGUGCCUGGCAGAGAAUAGGGGCUCAUUCAAUGAAUUUUGAUAAAUAAGGUUUGACACCCAUGCAUAAAUAUAAAUAUCAAUAGUAAUAAUUAAGUACUUACUAUGUGCCAGGCAGUAUUUUAAGCUUUUGGCAGUUCCAACUCAUUAAGACCUCUCACCAACCCUCUGAUGUAGGUAACUAUUAUUAUUUCCAUUCCAUGGAAGAAGGAACAAAGGCAAACCUAGUUAAGUAUCUUGCACAAGGUAAGUAAUGGACCUGGUAUCCUAACCCAAACAAUCUGUUUCAAGAGCCCUCACUCCUGACUGUCAUGCCGUGAAACUGGAGACCCUUAGAUAAGAUUUUGCACGUGUCAUUUCUAGGUCGAGAAAGAUUAUUAACUAUUGCCUCCAAGAUGCACUGGAAUGAAUAAUCAUCAGUAUUGGAUGGAUUUGCUGAAAAAGAACCAAGGAACCUGGAAAUGUUAGGGAGCAGAGAGAUGACAAGCAACUUCCUGAGUAAAAGGAAGGGUGGCACAACUCAUUGCCCUUCCCAGCAAAUGCUGAGGAGAAAAAGAGGCGAUGGGGAGAGCAAAUGAGCUGAAGGUCUACUUCUCAGUUCUCCCUCCUCUUUAAAGGUGGAGCUCACCCUCUACACUGGGGACUUCCUCUUUAUUUUAAGGAAGCUACCAGAAGAUGCGCUGCACCAAGAUGAGGGAGAAAAACACGACAUGGAAUCGGGGACACAGGGGAUUCACAUAAAAAAGUAAGGAAAAUUCCAAGGGUGAUGAUGAAGGGAAACCCCAGAACAACAGCUGUGUGAUUUGCCUAGUGAGCAGCAGUUAAAAUUGGAAUGGGAGGAAUUGCCCGAGAGAAAUAAAAAUAGAUAUAUUACCUGAUGAGUUUGAACGGAUGGGGAUUUACAGUUUGGGCAGAACAUUUGUGUGGGGAGUAGGGGCGAACGAGAGGUACCUAGAAAGCUUAACAAAGAGCUGAGACCCCAGAGAACAGAAAGGAGAUAUAAUAAAUAUAAUUAUAGUCUCUUAGACGCACUGUGAAAAGUAUUUUCAAAUUCAUUUAUUGCGAAAUGAGAAACUGAUUUAAUCCACAGUUGUGUUGACAGUGUGGGGAGGGUGAGCGCGUGUGGAGGAAUAGGGGACAGCGCUGGUGAGAGGCGGAUAAGCUGAUCCCGCACUGAAUUUGAAACAGACCGCCCCCUCCAUAAACAAAGGAAAUUUCCCUCCGAAACUGCUCAAGUCUUGGACCCCCUCAGUCUGAUAAAGGACAUACAAAGGGGGCCAGAAGGGAAAAUUGGAGGGCUUGGUGGAGGGGUUCUUUGGAGCAAGGCUGUGGGAUCGUGGACUCCCUCGUCCCCCGAGGAAGGGGCAGCGGUUCUACCCUCCCUCCCGUGCUUAGGUGCGGCUUUCGGUAGGAGGGGGUGCGGGCAGGGAGCCCGAGGCCCCGGUGCCCGCCCCGCGCCGGCUGCGACCCGGGCCGCCUCGCGCAGGGAAUC
Sus scrofa (pig) is the source of this 4948-nucleotide non-coding RNA. The record is from RefSeq and is a predicted model, not a curated record. Lineage: Eukaryota; Metazoa; Chordata; Mammalia; Artiodactyla; Suidae.